This 309-nucleotide ribosomal RNA is filed under the name uncultured eukaryote. Its description in RNAcentral is "partial large subunit ribosomal RNA". It matches the Rfam family "Eukaryotic large subunit ribosomal RNA", at positions 40 to 350 of the family's 3401-position model. The record is from RNAcentral.
AUAUCACUAAGCGGAGGAAAAGAAACUAAAUAGGAUUCCCCCAGUAACGGCGAGUGAAAAGGGAAGAGCCCAACCCGAGAAUCCAUGUCAAAGUGGAGUUGUGGGAUACGGAAGCAACGUCAGUGCAGUGCCCUGGUCUAAGUGUGUUGGAAUGCACUGGCAGAGAGGGUGAGACCCCCGUUCUGGGCUGGGAGCCACGCACGUACGACUUGUUUUCUUAGAGUAGGUCUGCUUGAGAGUGCAGACUGAAGCGGGAGGUAAAUUCCUUCCAAGGCUAAAUACAUGUGAGAGACCGAUAGCGCACAAGUA